This 382-nucleotide RNase P RNA is filed under the name Fructilactobacillus florum 8D. RNAcentral describes it as "Lactobacillus florum 8D Bacterial RNase P class B". It matches the Rfam family "Bacterial RNase P class B". Rfam says of the family: Ribonuclease P (RNase P) is a ubiquitous endoribonuclease, found in archaea, bacteria and eukarya as well as chloroplasts and mitochondria. Its best characterised activity is the generation of mature 5'-ends of tRNAs by cleaving the 5'-leader elements of precursor-tRNAs. Lineage: Bacteria; Bacillati; Bacillota; Bacilli; Lactobacillales; Lactobacillaceae. The record is from Rfam by way of RNAcentral.
GGUCCUGAGUAAUCGCGGUUAGCCUACGGGCUGGCUGAGGAAAGUCCACUCUCGCACAAGCUGUGAUGCUUGUAGUGUUCGUGCCCGGUGAAAAAAUAAGCCGAGGGACUGUUUAACAGUUACGGCGAAAGAGGCAGCUAAGGAUUUUUAAUCUAUGUUGUAGUAUUUCCUAAGGUGCUAUAGAGACGAUUGAUUCAAGAAAUUGAAUCACUGGAACGCAGUAAACCCCGCGAGCGGGAAACCCAAACUUUUGGUAGGGGAGCUUUACACACGGAAAUCAGAACUAAGUGUAGGGCAAGAAUCAAUGAUUCUUGAGAUAGAUGAUUACUACUCAAUUAUUGUUCCUGAUACUUUAAUUGAGCACAAAACAUGGCUUACAGGG